AUUUAAGUGAGGUGCCACGUCCGGAGGAGGGCAGCAGGAAUGAAAGACCUCUAGUUUUCCAGACUCCCGGAGCCCUGGUCUCUACGCCACAUGGACGUUAUCCACCUCCUCUGUGUCCUCCCAAGGCAGCAUUUCAGAAGGUGAUCCACGGCAAAGCGGUCCCUUCAAAUCCGUCUUUGUACCCACUGCCAUAGUCAACCCCGUGAGGAGCACAGCUGGCCCCGGGACUUUAGGACAAGGGUCUCUUCGGAAAGGGCGGAGCAGCAUGAGAAAGAGUAAGUGGUGGCAGAGAGAUGGAUCCCUGCAGAGACCCCUCCAGUCCGGGAUCCCCACUCUCGUGGUAGGCUCCCUCAGACGCAGCCCCACCAUGGUCGUUCGGCCUCAGCAGUUCCAAUUCUACCAGCCACAGGGGGUCCCCUCGUCCCCCUCAGCCAUGGUGGUGGAGAUGGGGUCCAAGCCUGCCCUCACGGGGGAGCCCGCCCUCACGUGCAUCAGCAGGGGCAGCGAGGCCCAGAUCCACUCCGCAGCCAGCUCCCUCAUCAUGGAAGACAAAGAAAUCCCCAUCAAGAGUGAGCCUCUGCCAAAACCGCCCGCAUCUGCCCCACCAUCCAUCCUGGUGAAACCAGAAAACUCAAGAAAUGGCAUCGAAAAGCAAGUCAAAACCGUGAGAUUUCAGAAUUACAGCCCUCCUCCCACCAAACAUUACACUUCCCAUCCCACCUCCGGAAAGCCUGAACAGCCAGCCACCCUCAAGGCAUCCCAGCCUGAAGCAGCAUCCUUGGGCCCAGAGAUGACCUUCCUAUUUGCCCACCGAAGCGGCUGCCACUCCGGACAGCAGACAGACCUCCGGAGAAAGUCAGCUCUUGGCAAGGCCACAACCCUGGUGUCCACUGCCUCAGCCACGCAGACCAUGUUUCCCAGCAAAUGAACCUACGGGUGGCUUUUCCUAGACCCCAAAGAGGUGAAUUGCAUUUAAAUACAGUCUGCCUCCACUGAGGGCAUCCUGCC
Molecule: small RNA, 1008 nt
Filed under: Pongo abelii (Sumatran orangutan)
Lineage: Eukaryota; Metazoa; Chordata; Mammalia; Primates; Hominidae
Description: processed transcript
Source: RNAcentral